GCAUUAGUGUUAAGGUAGCAUAGUAAUUAGUUUUUUAAUUGGAAAAUGGAAUGAAUGGCUCCACUAAAGCAUAGUAUUUAUACUAAAAAAUGAAAUUUUAAUUUAAGUGAAAAUACUUAAAUGCUAUAUUUAGACGAGAAGACCCUAUGAAGCUGGUAGACCAUAAGUGUAAUUAUUUCAUAGUAGCAGGUCUAUUUUUUGGGGUAAAAUUUAAUAAUUAUAUUAAUACAGAUUUGUUUAAACUUAUCCUUCUGGAAUUAUGAAUAAGCUCCUCUAGGGAUAACAGCAUUAUGCUUAAAAGAGUUCUUAUCAGAAUAAGCGUUUGUGACCUCGAUGUUGAAUA
Molecule: ribosomal RNA, 343 nt
Filed under: Calanus helgolandicus
Lineage: Eukaryota; Metazoa; Arthropoda; Copepoda; Calanoida; Calanidae
Description: partial 16S ribosomal RNA
Source: RNAcentral